CAGCCAGACUCCUACGGGAGGCAGCAGUGGGGAAUAUUGCACAAUGGGCGCAAGCCUGAUGCAGCGACGCCGCGUGCGGGAUGGAGGCCUUCGGGUUGUAAACCGCUUUUGUUCAAGGGCAAGGCACGGCUUCGGGCCGUGUUGAGUGGAUUGUUCGAAUAAGCACCGGCUAACUCCGUGCCAGCAGCCGCGGUAAUACGGAGGAUGCGAGCGUUAUCCGGAUUUAUUGGGUUUAAAGGGUGCGUAGGCGGAAUGCCAAGUCAGCGGUAAAAUCGCGGGGCUCAACCUCGCUCCGCCGUUGAAACUGGCGUUCUUGAGUGGGCGAGAAGUAUGCGGAAUGCGUGGUGUAGCGGUGAAAUGCAUAGAUAUCACGCAGAACUCCGAUUGCGAAGGCAGCAUACCGGCGCCCAACUGACGCUGAAGCACGAAGGCGUGGGUAUCGAACAGGAUUAGAUACCCCCGUAU
RNAcentral lists this ribosomal RNA (465 nucleotides) under uncultured bacterium. Its description in RNAcentral is "bacterial SSU rRNA". It matches the Rfam family "Bacterial small subunit ribosomal RNA", at positions 328 to 793 of the family's 1533-position model. The record is from RNAcentral.